RNAcentral lists this ribosomal RNA (466 nucleotides) under uncultured bacterium. RNAcentral's name for it is "partial 16S ribosomal RNA". It matches the Rfam family "Bacterial small subunit ribosomal RNA", at positions 29 to 507 of the family's 1533-position model. The record is from RNAcentral.
AUGAACGCUGGCGGCGUGCUUCACCCAUGCCAGUCGCACGGUGAAGCAGAGCUUGCUCUGUGGAUCAGUGGCGAACGGGUGAGUAACACGUGAGCAACCUGCCCCUGACUCUGGGAUAAGCGCUGGAAACGGCGUCUAAUACUGGAUAUGAGCUGCGACCGCAUGGUCAGCAGUUGGAAAGAUUUUUCGGUCUGGGAUGGGCUCACGGCCUAUCAGCUUGUUGGUGAGGUAAUGGCUCACCAAGGCGUCGACGGGUAGCCGGCCUGAGAGGGUGACCGGCCACACUGGGACUGAGACACGGCCCAGACUCCUACGGGAGGCAGCAGUGGGGAAUAUUGCACAAUGGGCGAAAGCCUGAUGCAGCAACGCCGCGUGAGGGAUGACGGCCUUCGGGUUGUAAACCUCUUUUAGCAGGGAAGAAGCGAAAGUGACGGUACCUGCAGAAAAAGCGCCGGCUAACUACGUG